AGAUCAGCUCAGGCAAUCGCUGUGUACGUAGGUACAUAGAGGAAAGUCCGGACUCCGACGGAUGGGAUGCCGGGUAACCCCCGGGGGGCAGAUGGCGCAAGCCGCUGUCCACAGACAAGUUCCACAGAAAAGAUACCGCUUUGCUUAAUGCAGAGUAAGGGUGAAAAGGCAGGUUAAGAGCCUACCGCGGCCGGGGUAACCUGGCCGGUCCCUUAAAAGGGAGCGGAAUAUCCCUUUACAGGGGUAUUGCCGUCAUGGAAAACCUCAUCCGGAGCAAGGUCAAGCAGGAAGAAUGGCGCUUUCGGGCGCCGGGAACCGUCCGUUUCCUUACUUCCGGGUAGACCGCACGAGGGUGUCAGUAAUGGCACUCCCAGAUAAAUGAUUGCCGCCUUCGGGUACAAAAUCCGGCUUAUCGGGCUGGUCUCCUA
Molecule: RNase P RNA, 428 nt
Filed under: Ignavibacteriales bacterium
Lineage: Bacteria; Pseudomonadati; Ignavibacteriota; Ignavibacteria; Ignavibacteriales
Description: RNase P RNA component class A
Rfam family: Bacterial RNase P class A
About the family: Ribonuclease P (RNase P) is a ubiquitous endoribonuclease, found in archaea, bacteria and eukarya as well as chloroplasts and mitochondria. Its best characterised activity is the generation of mature 5'-ends of tRNAs by cleaving the 5'-leader elements of precursor-tRNAs.
Source: RNAcentral